UCAAYAAGCGGAGGAAAAGAAACUAACAAGGAUUCCCCUAGUAACUGCGAGUGAAGAGGGAAGAGCUCAAAUUUAAAAUCUGGCAGUGUUUCACUGUCCGAGUUGUAAUCUAGAGAAGUGCUGCCCGUGCUGGACCAUGUACAAGUCUCCUGGAAUGGAGCGUCACAGAGGGUGAGAAUCCCGUCUUUGACAUGGACUGCCAGUGCAUUUGUGGUGUGCUCUCAAAGAGUCGAGUUGUUUGGGAAUGCAGCUCUAAAUGGGUGGUAAACUCCAUCUAAAGCUAAAUAUUGGCGAGAGACCGAUAGCGAACAAGUACCGUGAGGGAAAGAUGAAAAGAACUUUGGAAAGAGAGUUAAACAGUAUGUGAAAUUGUUGAAAGGGAAACGCUUAAAGUCAGUCAUGUCGGCCAGGGAUCAACCCAGUCAUUUUGCUGGGUGUACUUCCUGAUCUGAUGGGCCAACAUCAGUUUUGACUGCUGGAAAAGGGCAGAGGGAAUGUGGCACUUUCGGGUGUGUUAUAGCUCUCUGUCAGAUACAGUGGUUGGGACUGAGGAAAGCAGCAUGCCGCAAGGCCAGGUUUUAACCAUGUUCAUGCUGAGGAUGUUGG
RNAcentral lists this ribosomal RNA (606 nucleotides) under Amanita sychnopyramis. RNAcentral's name for it is "LSU rRNA". It matches the Rfam family "Eukaryotic large subunit ribosomal RNA", at positions 43 to 629 of the family's 3401-position model. The record is from RNAcentral. Lineage: Eukaryota; Fungi; Basidiomycota; Agaricomycetes; Agaricales; Amanitaceae.